Molecule: ribosomal RNA, 466 nt
Filed under: uncultured Desulfovibrio sp.
Lineage: Bacteria; Pseudomonadati; Thermodesulfobacteriota; Desulfovibrionia; Desulfovibrionales; Desulfovibrionaceae
Description: bacterial SSU rRNA
Rfam family: Bacterial small subunit ribosomal RNA
Source: RNAcentral
CCUACGGGGGGCAGCAGUGGGGAAUAUUGCGCAAUGGGGGAAACCCUGACGCAGCGACGCCGUGUGAGGGAAGAAGGCUUUCGGGUCGUAACCCUCUGUCGGGAGGGAAGAACCUUCCAGGUCUGAACAAGGCCUGGAACUGACGGUACCUCCAAAGGAAGCACCGGCUAACUCCGUGCCAGCAGCCGCGGUAAUACGGAGGGUGCAAGCGUUAAUCGGAAUCACUGGGCGUAAAGCGCGCGUAGGCCGCCUUCUAAGUCGGACGUGAAAGCCCUCGGCUCAACCGAGGAACUGCGUUCGAAACUGGGAGGCUUGAGUCCUGGAGAGGGUGGCGGAAUUCCGGGUGUAGGAGUGAAAUCCGUAGAUAUCCGGAGGAACACCGGUGGCGAAGGCGGCCACCUGGACAGGUACUGACGCUGAGGCGCGAAAGCGUGGGGAGCAAACAGGAUUAGAUACCCUAGUAGUC